This 256-nucleotide ribosomal RNA is filed under the name uncultured bacterium. RNAcentral describes it as "partial 16S ribosomal RNA". It matches the Rfam family "Bacterial small subunit ribosomal RNA", at positions 524 to 777 of the family's 1533-position model. The record is from RNAcentral.
UACAGAGGAGCCAAGCGUUGUCCGGAUUGACUGGGCGUAAAGCGCACGCAGGCGGUUGCGCGCGUGGGGUGUGAAAUCUGGCCGCUUAACGGCCAGGCGCCAUCCCAUACGGCGCGACUGGAGUGAUGCAGAGGUCGAUGGAAUUGCCGGUGUAGUGGUGAAAUGCGUAGAGAUCGGCAGGAACACCCAGGGGGGAAACCAGUCGAACUGGGCAUCUACUGACGCUGAGGUGCGAGAGCGUGGGGAGCAAACAGGG